RNAcentral lists this ribosomal RNA (442 nucleotides) under uncultured bacterium. RNAcentral's name for it is "partial 16S ribosomal RNA". It matches the Rfam family "Bacterial small subunit ribosomal RNA", at positions 338 to 795 of the family's 1533-position model. The record is from RNAcentral.
CCUACGGGAGGCUGCAGUGGGGAAUAUUGGGCAAUGGGCGAAAGCCUGACCCAGCAACGCCGCGUGAAGGAAGAAGGCUUUCGGGUUGUAAACUUCUUUUGACAGGGAGGAGCAGACGACGGUACCUGUCGAUUAAGCCACGGCUAACUACGUGCCAGCAGCCGCGGUAAUACGUAGGUGGCCAGCGUUGUCCGGAUUUACUGGAGGGAAAGGGCUAGUAGCCGGGCUGACAAGUCAGACGUGAAAUCCGGGGGCUCAACCCACGAACUGCAUUUGAAACUGGUGGUCUUGAGUAUCGGAGAGGCAGGCGGAAUUCGUGGUGUAGCGGUGAAAUGCGUAGAUAUUAGGAGGAACACCAGUGGCGAAGGCGGCCUGCUGGACGACGACUGACGGUGAGGCGCGAAAGCGUGGGGAGCAAACAGGAUUAGAUACCCGGGUAGUC